RNAcentral lists this ribosomal RNA (327 nucleotides) under uncultured eukaryote. RNAcentral describes it as "partial 18S ribosomal RNA". It matches the Rfam family "Eukaryotic small subunit ribosomal RNA", at positions 1469 to 1796 of the family's 1831-position model. The record is from RNAcentral.
ACCCUUAGAUGUUCUGGGCUGCACGCGCGCUACACUGAUGCGCUCAACGAGUUUACGACCUUGCUUGGAAAGGUUGGGUAAUCUUCUUAAAACGCAUCGUGAUGGGGAUAGAUUAUUGCAAUUAUUAAUCUUCAACGAGGAAUUCCUAGUAAGCGCGAGUCAUCAGCUCGUGCUGAUUACGUCCCUGCCCUUUGUACACACCGCCCGUCGCUCCUACCGAUUGAGUGCUACGGUGAAUAAUUCGGACUGCAGCAACGUUCGGUUCCUGAAUGUUGCAGUGGAAAGUUUAUUGAACCUUAUCACUUAGAGGAAGGAGAAGUCGUAACA